This 487-nucleotide ribosomal RNA is filed under the name Proteus mirabilis. RNAcentral describes it as "partial 23S ribosomal RNA". It matches the Rfam family "Bacterial large subunit ribosomal RNA", at positions 1261 to 1750 of the family's 2925-position model. The record is from RNAcentral. Lineage: Bacteria; Pseudomonadati; Pseudomonadota; Gammaproteobacteria; Enterobacterales; Morganellaceae.
CUGUGAGGUAUGCUGGAGGUAUCAGAAGUGCGAAUGCUGACAUAAGUAACGAUAAUGCGGGUGAAAAACCCGCACGCCGGAAGACCAAGGGUUCCUGUCCAACGUUAAUCGGGGCAGGGUGAGUCGACCCCUAAGGCGAGGCUGAAAAGCGUAGUCGAUGGGAAACGGGUUAAUAUUCCCGUACUGGUGGUAACUGCGAUGGGGGAACGGAGAAGGCUAGGUUGUCCGGGCGACGGUCGUCCCGGUUCAAGCAGGUAGGCAGAGUGAUUAGGCAAAUCCGGUCACUUAAUGCUGAGAUGUGAUGACGAACCACCAAGGUGGUGAAGCAAUUGAUGCCCCGCUUCCAGGAAAAGCCUCUAAGCUUCAGGUUACCAACAAUCGUACCCCAAACCGACACAGGUGGUCAGGUAGAGAAUACUCAGGCGCUUGAGAGAACUCGGGUGAAGGAACUAGGCAAAAUGGUGCCGUAACUUCGGGAGAAGGCACG